AUUAUUUUUGAGUUUGUAAAUAUUUAAUUAACUUUGAAUACAAAAUUAUUUAUGAAUUGUAUAUAGUUUAUUGGUUUGUGUGUGCAGUUAAAAGGAAGGAAAAAAAUUCGUGUCAUUUAUGUACUUAUUCACCCAUUUUUCUUAUUAAAUACUGCGAAAUGUAAUAUAUUCUUGUAUUUCUGUGUUCUUUUGAACAAAUAUACUCAUUUUUUCAUGUUCUCUUUGAUAUCGUAUUAAUAGUAAUGUUAAAUAUCUGGCUGAGCAAAUAUUUUGGUUAUCUGCGCUCAACUUUCCAGACGUUAUUGGAAAUCAGCUUUAAUAAUGCAUCUAGUUGAACAUGCUUAGCCAGAAACAUUAACAUAUUAACUUCAGCCGAGCUAGAGCGUGUAAUAUUAAUACCAAAAGCCUAACAUUCUAUGUACACUUAUUGUAAGCAAUUCUAGUAUUAUUCUGUUAUUUGUAGCGAAAUUAAAAAUUGCAGCAAGAAGCAGUAGCUUUUGCUGUGAUGGUUGUUUUGUUAUUAAGCCCAGUUAAUGUUCUCUUGCCUGUAUGCAGCGUGGUGUGGGUGUGAUAUGGCUAUUCUCAUUCUUGAUUGUAAGCAAACUGGUGAUUGCGAUCUGGCGAUCUUUUUUCCCUGAAUUUCUGCAUGUAUAGAAGGAUUUCAUGUCUGCAGAUAAUGUAUUACAAGAGGCUGUUGUGUGCCAGUGGACAAGCUGGUGAGAAGCUGAACACUAAUAGCUUGAAUCCUGGUGAAUGGACUGCCUGCAUAAGCGUCGUCAUGAUUUUUCCACGUGUAAUAUGAAUGCAAGCCAGUUUGCCUUAA
Stegodyphus dumicola is the source of this 823-nucleotide unclassified non-coding RNA. NCBI's taxonomy places the organism in Eukaryota, Metazoa, Arthropoda, Arachnida, Araneae, Eresidae. The record is from RefSeq and is a predicted model, not a curated record.